RNAcentral lists this long non-coding RNA (6599 nucleotides) under Phoenix dactylifera (date palm). RNAcentral's name for it is "long non-coding RNA (PDAC_LNC009131)". Lineage: Eukaryota; Viridiplantae; Streptophyta; Magnoliopsida; Arecales; Arecaceae. The record is from RNAcentral.
GCUUGGGUACUCACUUGAAGGGAAGAUGGUGGGACGGGACUUUUAUUAAUUAGAUGGAGUGAAUUUCCCAUAAUGCCCCUACUUUCUCUUAUAGAGAGGCUUCUUUCUGGACAAAUUCUUUUCUUUACCUACCAUGAAGUGCCACGGGAUGACCUUUUCUUAUCCUGCUCUUGCUUGACAUGGUAAACAGUAUUGCCCAGCAUUAUCUCAAUUAUUUAAUUAGUUUUAUGGCCCGGCAAUUACAUUUCUGUAUUUCCAUUCAAAAAUUAUAUUAAACUGAAAAAACUUUUUGUCUACUUUUGUUAGAUUCAUAUAUCUUUGUUGAAAUAGUAUACUUGAUAGCUAUCUAUUUUCAUAUUAUUUUUUAAAUAUUUUAUAUUUAUUAAAAAAAUUUAUUAUUAAAAAAAAGGCCUCAUUCAUUGGAUUCGCCUUAGGCCCCCAAAUGUAUCGGGCCGCCCCUGUAGUGCACUAGCAUGCCUAGGGCGAACAAGCUACGGAUUAAGUGCAAGGCACAAAAGAAUAAGCCGUUGCGCGUUAGCGCAACUGUUUUCUUAUUUGUAGCACGUUAGUUUUGAAGCGGCACCCCUCCGUUUUCCGCCUUCAAAAUAAGGCUCGCACUAAUUUCUUAAGAGUCUUUGGUCUCGCACCUACAACCUCUCCGGAGAAUGCUUGAAGCUUCUAGUCUUGCACUAGUCACCCCUACGACCAUGGUCGCACAUCACAGCGAGCAAAGAAAGAAAAUCUUCCAAAAACUGCAUUGAUGAAUUCUUGAUAUCAAAAGGGUAUAACUGAGAUAUAUUUAUUGAUGGGGCAAACUCAAACACAAAAAGAGAUAAAACUAUGAAGAAGGAGAAACUAAAAGAAAACUGUUAUUAAUAUUACCCACACCGUACAAAUGAGAAUCAACAAGUAUUUAAAGUAGUAGCUUUAGAAGUGAUAAGAAACUAAAAGAUAAACAUCUAAAAGAUAGACCUCAUCAACUAGAUAGACUUUGUCACUUAGAUAAAGAUGAGAAAUAAUGGUAGACUUAAUCAAUUAAAUAAACUUAAUCCCAAAAGAUAAAGAUAUAUUAGGAAUCUGGAUUAACUUCAAUAUUUCUCCUUAAUCCAGAUUUGGUCAAACUUGCCAUUGCCAACAUACACUUAAGCUUGAUGAAUGAGUCAAACUUCAAGGCUUGGUAAGAAUAUCUGCAAUCUGAUUCUCUGAGUCGCAAUAAACUACUUGGACUUGAUUUUUAUUCACUUGAUCUCGGACAAAGUGAAAUCGCGUGUCUAUAUGCUUACUUCUUCCAUGAGUGAUUGGGUUCUUUGCCAUAUUAAUAGCUGAAAUAUUACUAACAAAAAUCUUUACUGGUCAUUUGAUUGAAAUGUGAAUCUAAUUUAACAUGUUUCUCUGCCAAAUUGCUUAACAUGCACUAGAAACUAUAGCCAUAUAUUUUGCUUCAUACAUGGACAAAGCAACAACUGAUUGUUUCUUUGAGGAACAUGAGAAAGCUGUUGAGCCAAAACUAAAAAGAUAACCUGAGGUGCUUCUUUCAUCUUGAUCACCACCCCAAUCACUAUUAGAAUAUCCAAUCAACUCACAUGUAUUAGUUGGGGAAUAAAAUAAACCAUGGUCACAAUUACCUUUUAUGUAGCACAGAUUUCCUUUUUAGCAACUUGCAAAUGAGACAUUUAAGAUGCUUCCAUGAACUUGCUCAUAAAACUAACUCCACAAGCUAUACCAGGUUUUGUGCAGGUUAGAUACCUCAAGCUACCAAUUAUUCUUCAGCGGUGCAGCUGAAUCAAUACAUUCCCUAGACAAUUUAGUUCCAACUUCAGUUGAGUGUGCACAGGAUUAUAGUCAAAUAUAUUAAACUUCUUCAAACUUUCUGCAGGAUACCUCAUUUGAUAGAGAAAAAUUUCCAUCUUUGCUUUGCACAACCUCAAUCCAAAAGGAAAUAUGUUAUCAUGCCCAAAUCUGUCAUAUCAAACUUUUUCACCAUUGCUGGCUUGAAUUCUUCUAUCAUGCUAAGGUUAACUCCAGUAAAAAUUAGGCUAUGAUAUUAAGGCACACGAUUAGUACAUCAUUGGAACCUCUAAUUUUCACAUAUAUGGUAUGCCCACACAAGUGCUUUUCAAACCUAUUUUCUUGGAAGAACAUAUCAAUGCACUUAUUCCAUGCCCUUAGAGCUUGCUUAUAUAUCUUUCUUCACGUACAAAACCUGGUAGUUGCUUAACAUGGCUGUACCCUUUUGCUACCUAUCUCGUCUAAUACCGUUCAAUUUUACCACUUGGCUUGACUUUUAGCUUGAAAACCCACUUCACAUCAAUUGCUUUGCAUCCUUGUGGAAUGUUUGUGAGUUCCCAUAUGUCAUUUCUCUAAAUCAUCUUGAUCUCUUCGUUCAUGGCUUCCACUCAUUUGUCAGUUUUGGCCGCUUCUUCAAAAGUAAGAGGAUCUUAAUCCGGAAACAUUGGAAAGUAAACUAAUUGUGAGAAUAGGCGUCAAUGGGCUGAAGCCGGCAGGCCUAGCCGACUUCAGCCCAUGGCCCCAAACCCAGAACAAAGGCCGAACUCAACUCUUUUUUUUUCGUUCCAUGGGCGCCGGGGCAAGAGAAGAGGAAAGGAUGGGAGAAAGAAUCCUUUGAUCUCCCCAGAGUGACCACUCUCACCUCUCUCUCCGGCUCCAACUCCUCUUUUCCCGGUGGCUGGUGUGCCACCCCGGCCGAGCACCGCCGCGCAGAGCCUCCUUUUCUCUCCAUUUCCUCCGUCUACUCUGUUCCGAGGUUCUUUUUCCCCUGCUUUGAACUCCGCCGCCGCUAUCUGCCGGCCGAGCUAUCCGCUGCCGAGGAUAUCCUCCCUCUUCUCCUCCUUCUCCGGUGGCCGGCGGGCCACCCCGGCCGAACGCCACCCCAUGGAAGCCUCGAGGUUCUGCUUGCUCUGUUCUGUGACUCCUUUCUUCGUGGGAAGAUGCCGCUGCCGCUGCCACCGCCGGAAGAAGCACCGCCACCGCAGCGCCUCGGUGAUCCUUCUUUCCCCUUUUCCCUUUCUUUAGACAGUUGCCGGAGCCCCAUUUGAGAUCAUGAAGAAAGGGCCCGAGGUCUCCGUUUUUGGCCCUUUCUUCUUUUUCCUUUCCAUCUCUGGCCAUUUUGCCACCUCCGCCGGCUGCCACUGCGGUCACCGCCGCCUCUGUCGCUGGCUCUAUCGUGAGCCGCCGGCCGGGCCACCCUUGGCCAUCAACCACCCCCAGCCUUCUGGCCCUCCCCCACUUCAUUCAUUUUUGGUCCUGUUGGGCCAUGCCCAUUAUGAACCAAACUUGGGCCCAAUUUAAUCAUUUUGGGCUAUGCCCAUUGCGAACCAAACUUGGGCCCAGGUUGGUCACUUUGGGCCCUAUUGGGCCAUGCCCAAUGCAGGCCAAUGUUGUGUGUUAAGUUUGGGCCUUAUUGAGCCGUGUCCAUUGCAGACCGAGUUUGGGCCUCAUUGGGUCGUGUCCAAUAUGAGCCAAUGCAGGCUUAUUGGGUCAUGUCUAAUGUGAGCCAAGUUUGGGGCUCUAUUGGGCCGUGUCCAAUGUGGGUCAAGUUUGGAUCCCUAUUGGGCCGUGUCUAUUGCGGGCCGAGUUCGGGCUCUAUUAGGUUGUGUCCAAUGCAGGCCGUGUUUGGGCCCUAUUAGGCUGUGUCCAAUGUGGGCCGAUGCGGGCUUGUUAGGUCGUACCCAUUAUGGGCCGAGUUCGAGCCUUAUUGAGUCGUAUCCAUUGUAGGCCGAGUUCGGGCCCUGUUGGGCUGUGUCCAAUGUGGGUCGAGUUCAGGCCCAUUGUUGGCCGUGCCCAUUGUGGGCUGGGUUCGAGCCUAUUCACCUUGAAUUUGUUUAUCAAUUACGAGGUCAUGUUCAAUAGUAUUUUUGGCUUUGCUUAGCUUUGAAAUUAAUAAAAAAAUUAAUUAUAUUUAAUAAUAUUUAAACAUGUGAACCUGAUCCACCAAUCUAAAGUAGGAUUUAAAGCGAGAAGAGGCAAGUAACCUAAUACUUGAAAGUAUGUUUUCCAAAUUAUUUAUUAAAAUAAUUAUUAAUUGAUUAAAUUUUGAUACAUGUUUUGUACUUAGUUAAACGGGUUAGAUAUGUUAAUUAUCAUUUUGAAUUUAUGUUAUAUGUUAUGAAAUCUGAAAAAUAUGACUGGAUAAAUUAUGAAAAAUCUAUUUUAUAUGUAUGUAUUCUCAGCAUGACUAUAAUCUGUUCUCGCCCCGCUAAUGGAGAUUAUUCAUUGGCCCUGUCGACUUGCAAUAUGUGAGAAACUGGUUUUGACACCGCAACACUGGUGAUUAGAAUUGUAAUAUUUGGACACCAUUGCCAUCGGUGGUUAAUAAUGGUGGAUUUGACACUUUGUGCAACCCAUGCUACUGGGUUACGUGGCUAUAGCCUAUUGAUGUUGGGAUUCUGGUACUAGAGUAUUUAUGAAAAUGAUAAUAAUUUUUUUAAAAGAUAUGUUUAUUGAUGACUUAUAUUCUCAGUCAUUAUUUUAUAUUUCAAUUAAAUAUCUGGCAUGCUUUGAGCCCACUAUGGGGUAUUACAUUGUUAUAGCUCAUUAUCAUAUUUUCUCUGUUUUCAGAUCCGGAUACAUGAUCGCACGGGACUUGGGGAGUGCGCUAGAUUUUUGAAGAUUUUUCAAUUAUUGACAUUUUAGUUAAAUUAGUCAGAUUAUUUGAUUUAUGUUAGCACAUGUUACUUUGAAAUUAUUAUAAGAACUAUUUGAAUAAAUUGAUGAUUAAACAAAUUUUAAGAAUUUUUCAUUGCUUUGAUAUGAUCUGUUGCCUUAUAUGCUUGUAUGGUCUGUCGUACAGGCAUACAACAUCUGUAGCGCUUCAGGCCCGGCAUGACACUAAUUCUCCAUCAUCAUUAGUUGUGUGAGACCCAAGCUUUUUGGCGUCACGUGUGUCGCACGUGAGGGCACACGAUGAAGGGGGAUUCAUCGCGAUCGCCCGAGGAAGACGGAAACCCCAUUUUUUUAGGGCUUCUUUCUCGUUCCAUUGAGGCCACCCGAGGAAGAGCUGCCAUGCCCGAGUUCCCUUCGGGUUGGAGCUUCUUCUUCCUCGCAUUGCCGCCCGAGAGAGAGAGGGAGAGAGAGCCAAGAAGCCAUGACACGGGUGACCCUUUUCCUCUACUGCCACCGGAGAGGAAGAAAGCCGCCGAACCUUCGUCGGGGCUGAGGUAAGGCAUUCUCCUCCUCCUCUCUUGGUGAUUAGCCAUAGUCUAUGGUGGUUUUGAGCUGGCUGAUCGCCGAAAAUUAGACCCGGAAGCUCUUGCUGUCGGCCUUGUUCGCCAUCGCCAGCCGCCGGGGGUGGUCAGGCUUGCUCCGCCGCCUUCUACCGCCGCCGGAGCUGGCCACCACGGCCGCCCUUGGGCUCGACCGAGGAGGGAAGAAGAAGAAAUAUAGGGAGGGGAAGAAGAAAGAAGUCGGGAGAAGUUUCUGGAGAAGAAGAGAAGAAAAGAAAGAAGAAAAAGACAAAGGAAAGAAAAAAAUAAAUAAAUAAAUAAAUAUAUAUAAACGAAUAAAGAGUGGGGGUGGUUUACGGGUAUGAACUCGAACUUGGGGUGCUAGGCAUUUCUGUAGGGUCAGUCAUGGGAGGAUAUUAAAAUUAAGUUUUUGUAUACAUAUAUUGUGAUGAAUUAGAAAAGAAGAAUAUGAUUUUUGAAUAUUAGAUUCUGCGAGGGAUUUGCGGAAUUAAUUGGAUUUGUUGUGGAUCACGUUCGCAAGAUAAGUGAUGUAACAUCUUUUUUAGAUUUAUCGGCAAACUAUAUAUAUGUUUUACGAAUCGAAUUAUCCGUGAUUUCGAAUUUGAUGCAUGGAUUAUAUGUAUAUUUUUAGAAUAUUGUAUGACUUUGAUCGAACGUAUUUGUUUCUGAUUUGAAUUGUAUUUAAUUGCUCUGACAUUGUGCCUUUCGGCCUGGAACACUGAACAUAAUGUCAGAAAAAAUAAUGACUUGAAAUAGAUUCAGACUUGCAGUCGGGCUAUGUUGAGGACCCUGCCAAUGGGGGCUAAUACAUUGGUACUGCAAGAAGAAUAGUCGGUGAUAUGACCCUGCCACAGGGAACAUGUAGUUAUAGUUUCUGGCUGUUGAGUUGAAUUUGAUAAAUUGAAAGAAAUUAAGAUAUGAACGAUAUUUGGUUUUGACACUGCAUGUUUUCAUGACUGAAAUAUGAAUAGAGAACUAAUUGAACUUCGACCUGGCUAUGUUGAGGACCCCGCCAAUGAGGGCAGAUACGUUGGCAAUUGACUGUCCUGAAGGUCUCACCGCAAGAAGAUUAGUCGGUGUUGAUGACCCUGCCACAGGGAACAUAUGGUCAUAGUUCAGGAUCGACAAGAUGAAUUGAAUAUGUGAAAGAAUCUCGAAACCGUAAAAAAAAUCUUAAGAAUUUAAGAAAUAUUUGACUUGUACCUUGGAACUGCAUAUAUAUUUAUUUUCUACAUAUUAUUGCUUGAUUUAUUUAGUUAGAGUGUUCAUUACUUACUGGGCUGUUUAGCUCAUUAUACAAUUUCUUGUUGUUUUACAGAUUCCGAGAACUAGUCUAUUGGGGUUCCAAAAUAGGAGAGCGACUAGAAGGAUUGUGGCACAAGUUAUCUUAGAUUA